This 253-nucleotide ribosomal RNA is filed under the name uncultured bacterium. RNAcentral's name for it is "partial 16S ribosomal RNA". It matches the Rfam family "Bacterial small subunit ribosomal RNA", at positions 524 to 776 of the family's 1533-position model. The record is from RNAcentral.
UACGUAGGGGGCUAGCGUUGCUCGGAAUCACUGGGCGUAAAGCGCACGUAGGCGGAUCGUUAAGUCAGGGGUGAAAUCCUGGAGCUCAACUCCAGAACUGCCUUUGAUACUGGCGAUCUUGAGUUCGGGAGAGGUGAGUGGAACUGCGAGUGUAGAGGUGAAAUUCGUAGAUAUUCGCAAGAACACCAGUGGCGAAGGCGGCUCACUGGCCCGGUACUGACGCUGAGGUGCGAAAGCGUGGGGAGCAAACAGG